Solanum pennellii is the source of this 1680-nucleotide RNA transcript. It is a transcript of the gene named UDP-glycosyltransferase 91A1-like, with no coding region annotated. The transcript has a single exon. NCBI's taxonomy places the organism in Eukaryota, Viridiplantae, Streptophyta, Magnoliopsida, Solanales, Solanaceae. The record is from RefSeq and is a predicted model, not a curated record.
AAGAGGACAUUCAAAGCCAAAAAAAAAAGGACACUCAUAAUGCAAGCAAAUAGAUAGGGUUUUAAUAGCAUUUUAAAGGUGGCAAAAAAUCAGCCAACCAUCAAUUUAAGAGUAGCUCUACAAAACACAUAAAAAUGGCAGAAAACAGCAAAAAAUUGCAUAUUGCAGUAUUUCCAUGGCUAGCUUUUGGCCAUAUGAUUCCGUAUUUGGAGCUAUCAAAGCUCAUAGCUCAAAAAGGUCAUAAAUUUUCAUUUAUUUCUACUCCAAGAAACAUUGAUAGUCUCCCAAAACUUCCGCCAAGUCUCGCCCCUUUUUUAAAUUUCGUCAAAAUCCCCCUUCCCCACGUCGAAAAAUUACCAAAAAAUGCAGAAGCCACUACUGAUUUAUCUUAUGAGCAAGUCAAGUACCUCAAACUUGCUCAAGAUGAACUCAAAGAACCCAUGGAUAAGUUUCUCGAAGAUUCAGCUCCUGAUUUCAUACUCUUUGAUUUUACCUCUUAUUGGCUUCCUUCAAUUGCUUCAAAAUUCAACAUUCCGACGGGUUAUUUCAGCAUAUUCGUCGCUGCAUAUGUAGGUUUCACUGGACCUGUACCGGGAUUGAACAAUAACUAUGAAAUUCGGAUGACGUUGGAGGAAUUGACAGUUUCCCCAAAAUGGGUUCCGUUUGAAACUGCGGUUGCUUUCAAGGAGUUUGAACUUUUGAGGAUCUACGAAGGUUGCAAAGAAGGCGAGGAAGAGAACUUUUAUGAUAUUUCUCGUAUGUAUAAGACUUUUGAAAAUUGUAAUUUUUUGCUUGUGAGGAGUUGUUUAGAAUUUGAACCGGAAUGGCUGAAAGUAGUAGAGGAUAUUCACCCAAAACCGGUGAUCCCGGUGGGCCAGCUUCCGACAACAUCAUAUGAAGAUGACAACACAGAUAUUGACGCGUGGAGAGAAAUAAAAUUAUGGCCUGAUAAGCAAGAAAAAGGGAAAGUGAUCUAUGUGGCAUUUGGGAGCGAGGCAAAACUGAGUCAAAAUGAACUGAGUUAUCACUAGGAUUAGAGCUUUCUGGGUUAUCUUUUUUUUGGGUUUUAAGAACUAAAAGAGGAGAAUCCGAUGAUGAAUUGAUUCAACUACCAGAAGGUUUCGAAGAACGAACGAAGGAAAGAGGAAUAGUGUACACGAGUUGGGUGCCACAACAUAAAAUACUGAGUCAUGACUCGGUGGGUGGUUUUUUGACUCAUGCCGGAUGGAGUUCAAUAGUUGAAGCAAUACAAUUUGAGAAACCAUUGCUUCUGUUGACAUUUUUGGCUGAUCAAGGAAUAAAUGUUAGGCUCCUGGAGGAAAAGAAGGUAGCAUAUCUGAUACUGAGAAAUGAUUGGGACGGAUCAUUCACUCAUGACGCGGUGGUUGAGUCAUUAUAUUUGGUACUCCUUGAAAAAGAGGGUGAAAUUUAUCGAAAAAAAAUCAAAGAGGUGAAGAAUCUUUGUUGUGACAAGAAAAGACAAGAUGAUUAUGUGGAAAAUUUGUUAAGGUUUCUCCAAAAUUAUAAAAAUAAGUAUAAAAUAGGAAGUAACAUUUACAUUUGCAUGCACUUUUUGGAGAAUUGUGAUUUUAUGAAUAAAGAUGUUAUAUUUUUCUUUUUAUGUACUAUAACAAAAUAUAUUGUAAAGGUGUAAAGAUUGCUUUGAUUUUUAUUUCACUA